CAGUCGCCGCGGUAAUACGGAGGGAGCUAGCGUUGUUCGGAAUUACUGGGCGUAAAGCGCGCGUAGGCGGUUACUCAAGUCAGAGGUGAAGGCCCGGGGCUCAACCCCGGAACUGCCUUUGAAACUAGGUGACUAGAAUCUUGGAGAGGUCAGUGGAAUUCCGAGUGUAGAGGUGAAAUUCGUAGAUAUUCGGAAGAACACCAGUGGCGAAGGCGACUGACUGGACAAGUAUUGGCGCUGAGGUGCGAAAGCGUGGGGAGCAAACAGGAUUAGAUACCCCUGUAGUCCCUGUCUCUUAUAC
RNAcentral lists this ribosomal RNA (301 nucleotides) under uncultured bacterium. Its description in RNAcentral is "partial 16S ribosomal RNA". It matches the Rfam family "Bacterial small subunit ribosomal RNA", at positions 509 to 807 of the family's 1533-position model. The record is from RNAcentral.